UACGUAGGGUGCAAGCGUUGUCCGGAAUUAUUGGGCGUAAAGAGCUCGUAGGCGGUUUGUUGCGUCGGCUGUGAAAUCCCGAGGCUCAACCUCGGGUCUGCAGUCGAUACGAGCAAACUAGAGUGUUGCAGGGGAGACUUGAAUUCCUGGUGUAGCGGUGAAAUGCGCAGAUAUCAGGAGGAACACCGGUGGCGAAGGCGGGUCUCUGGGCAACAACUGACGCUGAGGAGCGAAAGCGUGGGGAGCGAACAGG
Molecule: ribosomal RNA, 253 nt
Filed under: uncultured bacterium
Lineage: Bacteria
Description: partial 16S ribosomal RNA
Rfam family: Bacterial small subunit ribosomal RNA
Source: RNAcentral